This 4101-nucleotide long non-coding RNA is filed under the name Mus musculus (house mouse). RNAcentral's name for it is "long non-coding RNA chr17:86201534-86205635". The record is from RNAcentral. Lineage: Eukaryota; Metazoa; Chordata; Mammalia; Rodentia; Muridae.
AGGGAGGAAUAUAUACAUAAUACUUAUGGCUAUCUUAGAAAGCACCCUUUUAACCUUGCAUGAGUUACUAGACCUAGGAUUGUAUCUUUACUUCAAGUGAAUGCUGUCUAAAUGAAUUGUCAGUCCCCUGACAGUCUUGAGUGUCCCCUCAGUCACACUUACCCGAAUCCAGUGUCUGCCUUUAAUGGGGUGUUCCUGGGUUCCCAUCCCUUGUCUAAACACACAUUUUUCAGCAGUGGCUCCAUCUUGGUCACAGUCAACCAGAAGGUGAUUAGCCCGCAGCUAGAGAGCAGCCGCCUGGGGGUUGGGUGGAAGAAGAGGCUGCAUCAGGGUGGGACAGAGGGUGACCAUAACGAAUAGACGGAUGACCUCUCUGUGUUCCAUGUUAGCCGUUUCGUGAUGGUGGUCUUCGUCUGCCUAAGGCACGUGCUCUCAGGGACAUCCACAGGGGCCAUUUAGCAUAUGAGAAUCAGUCAGUGAGUACCCUGUUCGGAACUUUUGUCUCUUUGAGUGUAGUGAUUACGAAGGUCAUGGCCACUGGUGAAUGAAAUGAAAUCCAUGAGGGAAAAGGCAGUCAGAUUGUGAAACUGGGCCCAGGGUUGGCUGCCUAAGUGCACAGGCAGGCUAGAGACCAGACUUUAGGAAGCUGGCCUCGAUUCCUGGCUACUCCUUGCCAUGUGAGGCCUCUGUCUGAGUUAAUAGCCUAUUACGGUGUUGCUUGUCCAUAUCAAUCGAUUUCAUCAUCCAGUAGUGGCAUGUGAUCGACAGGCACAGCCAAGCUAAGGCUUUGGAUUUUUUCACACCUGGCUGCGCAGUUUGUGGGGGCAAGGUGUGUGUGUGCAGACCUGUGGGCCUGAACCUUAACAGCCUUUUCUCUUUCCAACUGGACACUCCACUCAGAUAGUACUUUUUUUUUUUCCAUUUUUUAUUAGGUAUUUAACUCAUUUACAUUUCCAAUGCUAUACCAAAAGUCCCCCAUAUCCACCCACCCCCACUCCCCUGCCCACCCACUCCCCCUUUUUGGCUCUGGUGUUCCCCUGUACUGGGGCAUAUAAAGUUUGCAAGUCCAAUGGGCCUCUCUUUCCAGUGAUGGCCGACUAGGCCAUCUUUUGAUAUAUAUGCAGCUAGAGUCAAGAGCUCCGGGGUACUGGUUAGUUCAUAAUGUUGUUCCACCUAUAGGGUUGCAGAUCCCUUUAGCUCCUUGGCUACUUUCUCUAGCUUCUCCAUUGGGAGCCCUAUGAUCCAUCCAUUAGCUGACUGUGAGCAUCCACUUCUGUGUUUGCUAGGCCCCGGCAUAGUCUCACAAGAGACAGCUACAUCUGGGUCCUUUCAAUAAAAUCUUGCUAGUGUAUGCAAUGCAGAUAGUACUUUUGAUAAUGCACACAGGGUGGCCUGUGUGUCCAACGUGAGGAGACACAGGCCUUGUAUGCCCUGCAAGCCUUUUGCCAUCACAAAAGGGUGUGCGGGACUGGCAGCAUGCCUUCAUGGAAGCAUGAAGAAGAGCAGGGGGUGGCCUGCCACAGGUGAGAAGAGGCCCAGAGGAUGGCUGCCUGCAUGGCUGGUGCUGGCACUCCUUGCAGAAGCUAUUCCUGGCUUCCCUUUAGUCUCUUCCCUGCUGCUGUUUGUGGUCUGAAAGUUGGCCAACAAAGGGGAGGCUGCUGAGCUGAGCUGAGCUGAGAAGCAGAGGCCCAGGCGACCUAACACUGCCAGGGACUCUUAGGUAACUCACAUUGGGUCAAAGAGAAGAGCUGGGUUCCUCUCUCUGUAAAAGACAAAUAGGAUCCGUCUCAUGUUGGAAACGGAAGUUAUUGUUAUGGCGUUGACCGACAACCAUCCCUGCGACCAAGGCAGACCCUGUGCUGUUUAAGUAUGUGCUAUCACUUAUUAUGGGAUACAGUGGUUCCCAAUUUGAAAGGGGGGGAGGGGAGGAUGAUAGCCUAGUGAGGUGGCACAUGCUUAUCAGUCCAGCACUUGGGAAACUGAGGCCGGAGGAUUACCAUGAGUUCCAUGCUAAUUUAGGCUACCCAACGAGACCCUCUCACACAAACGCAAAACAAACAACAAGGAAAAGAUAAGGAGCAUAGGUAGGAAGCGUGGUUUGGUAGUAGAAUACUUGCGAGCAUGCACAAGGCCCUAGGGGGCCCACCCCUCACUCUAAGCUUGCCCAUGUACAUGGUACCCUCGCUGGGGAUUCUCUGACUUUUCUUCCAGCUCAUUACUCAGCAGAUACCUCCUGAAAGCUGAGAAGACACAACUGCUCCGAUUCAAAUAAUGGCCAUCGCGCCAGGAGGGAGUGCCAAGGAGUUAAUUAAAGCAAACAGAACAUCUGGCAGGUUUCCUAGGGCAAGAAAAAUAGUUUUCUUUUCCCCUCAUGCUCCUGAUAACACCCCGCAAAGCAUGGCCAUUUCUUUUGUGUCACGCCAAGUUUGUCGUUUGACAGACACCUGCUGAGUUUCCACUGUGACCCAGGAUACCGAUUAGACGCCAGAGAUGGGGCAGGGUGGACAUGUCUUUGGGGCGGGGUUGCGUUGGGAAAAUAAGGCGCUGCACACACAGAAGAGGGGGCCCCAGACUUAUUUCUAUGGUGUUCACGUAAGGUGCCACUUAAUAUAUACCAGUUACAAGUUAAGAGUGUCUGCCUAAAAGAGAAAACCCAAGCGAGCAGGAAGUCAUGGUGACAUUUGCCCAUUGUCUGCUGGUUCUCAGAGAGCGGGGAAGGGAGCCAAGGGGAGGCGGGACUAGUGUGGGCAGCCUCCUCCUGGUCUCUUGUCACCUGUGACACUCCCUCCAGCCAGCAUGCUGCCAGCCCUCACAUUUCUCAUUGAUAGCAAGUAGGUGGAAUUUCUAUGAUGUCCCAUGGAUACAUUAGGCAUUUGGCUCUCUAUAUACCUUUCCAUUUCACCAUCUCUAAGGUAUGGCGUUCAUUGACACUGUUCCAGAAGGCUGCCAUAACUCCAGCUGUCACAUAUUCAUUCUAAGAGAAAGGCAAGGAAGGCGUUCUUGUUUGUUUAUUGUGUACACGUGUUUGCGCACAUGCCCCUGGCAGCACUAGUUCCAGCACGCAUAGGUAUGGCAGCCAGAGAGAGAUGUCAGCAUCUCUGCCUAGUGCACACAUCUUAUUUUUCAAGUCUGGGUCUCCUGCUGAGCCUGGAACUUACCAUGCUCUCUCCUGUCUGGCUAGUGAGCUCCAGGAGCCCUCUUGUUUCUGCUGCCCGAUUCUAGGAUUACAAGUGCCACGACCCUGCCCAGCUCUCUACAUGGGCGCUCGGGGUCCAAACUCAGGGCCUCCUGCAUGCAUUCCCACUUCUUCCAGCCAGAGUUGUCCUUGGGGAUGGGGAUAUAGCUCAGUUGGGGAAGGGCUGUGGUGGGGUAAUGAACCCUAGGCUGUAUGACUGCCAGGAACUCAUACACUGGGUGUGGUACUGGUGAUACCCGUAGAGGGGAGGUAGAGGCAGGAAGAUUGGGAGUUUUGUGAUUAAGGCUUUUGGAAGCUAUGGAAGUUUGAGGCCAGCUGGGAUUGCAUGCUACAUCACAUCAAAAAACAAUAAGAAAAAAAGAUGGCAGCAGCAAUGACAAAACAAACAAACAAACAAGGGGCUGUAAGAUGGCCUAGCACAUGGAAGCCCUUGCUGCAUAAAGUCAAGUUCAGGCUCUGGAGCCCAGAGUCUAGGCCUCUCUAACCACUAAGCUAUCUACCAGCAGUGAUUGGUGUGAAAGCCACCUAUACCCCUUAGCUUGUAAUCCCACUUCUAAAAUGUUGUACGAAAUGUUCGUGUGCAGAGACAUGUUGAGCAUGUUAGGUGCAGUGUCUGAGUGGCCCCUGUUGGUCUGGGUCAUACUGCUCACCCAGGAGCUGGGAAAGGGCACUCUAGUUUCCAGACCCACUAGCAGCUCAGCAGUGAGCCAGACUACCCAGAAACAAAAUCGGUACUGCAGUUUUGGACAUUGUCCUUGUAUUUCAGCAAAGGGAGGAAUCCUCCUUGUCGGGCAGUCGCCCUGUGCCUUGCCGUGCCAAGGUGAGAAGCCUAUAGUUUCACUUCAGUGAGAGAGUAUUGGCCUAGUAUCUGUUGAGUGAUGGUGUUUGGUUCCCCAUACCAUGGG